RNAcentral lists this transfer RNA (72 nucleotides) under Oscillospiraceae bacterium. Its description in RNAcentral is "tRNA-Gln". It matches the Rfam family "tRNA". From Rfam's summary of the family: Transfer RNA (tRNA) molecules are approximately 80 nucleotides in length. Their secondary structure includes four short double-helical elements and three loops (D, anti-codon, and T loops). The record is from RNAcentral. Lineage: Bacteria; Bacillati; Bacillota; Clostridia; Eubacteriales; Oscillospiraceae.
UGGGGCGUCGCCAAGCGGUAAGGCACCAGACUCUGACUCUGGCAUUCAUGGGUUCAAAUCCUAUCGCCCCAA